AUGUGAUGAUUCCUUAUAGAUGACGAGUCUGACAUACUAUUGUGAAGACAACCAACUUUUUAAUACCAUUCAUGCAUUUCUGAGA
Molecule: small nucleolar RNA, 85 nt
Filed under: Kazachstania africana CBS 2517
Lineage: Eukaryota; Fungi; Ascomycota; Saccharomycetes; Saccharomycetales; Saccharomycetaceae
Source: RNAcentral